Ictalurus punctatus (channel catfish) is the source of this 704-nucleotide long non-coding RNA. RefSeq lists it as uncharacterized. The record is from RefSeq and is a predicted model, not a curated record. NCBI's taxonomy places the organism in Eukaryota, Metazoa, Chordata, Actinopteri, Siluriformes, Ictaluridae. The transcript is spliced from 3 exons.
UAAUUCUAGCUGAGGGUGCAUACAUCUAUAACUAUAACUACUAUAAUCACAUAUUGUAUAUAUAAUAUAAUAUCAUAUAAUAUAUAAUACAUAUAAUGUCAUUCGGUUUACAAUGACUACAGUGUAUAAAGAUAUUUAUUUGUGGAGUACUACAAUUUAGAUUGCUAAGCACAGUGCUUAGAAUAACAUUGUUCUCCCUUACAGAACAUGCAUACUGUCUAAGAGUUUCCAUUGUUUACAACAAAACAACUAGAGCAGCAAAACUGGUGUUAUUGGAUAACCAUCUAUUUGGUGUUAGCUGUUGAUCUCGAGCACCACCCUUUAAAAAAAAAAAAAAAACAAGAUGUUGAAUAGGACAUUGUUGUUCUACGGCCACAUACUGAACUGCCAGCAAACAGGUUUUUUCAUGUUUGUCCUUGAGCAACCUAAUGACUAGAAUACUACUCUGUGCAGGGCCAUGGUCUGUUUGGUGUUACAGUGUCUUGAUCCAGGUAGUGUGUGUGUAUUUGUGUAUCUGGAAGGAUAACCUGAUUUCAGUAGUGUCUCACUGGCUCCACAUAGGAAAUCCAGAUCCUUAUUCGAAAGGGCGGUAAGCAAAGGAUUCCCCCAAAAUGUAGCCGUCCAAAACAAAAGUAAUGAAAGCAGGAUCUCAGGUUGAAACCCUCCAGAGUCUCUCUCCCCUGUGCCAGUGCUCCAGGUUUCCC